GCCCGGCUAGCUUAAUCGGCAGAGCGUGAACGCUUACAUCCCUUGUAGAGGAAUAGGAAUGGACGAGUUACGUCAAGGCUGUGGGUUCGACCCUCAUGUUUAGCU
This is a non-coding RNA of Chaetomium fimeti, 105 nucleotides long. Lineage: Eukaryota; Fungi; Ascomycota; Sordariomycetes; Sordariales; Chaetomiaceae. The record is from the annotation of a RefSeq genome assembly.